CCUACGGGAGGCAGCAGUGAGGAAUAUUGGUCAAUGGACGAGAGUCUGAACCAGCCAAGUAGCGUGAAGGAUGACUGCCCUAUGGGUUGUAAACUUCUUUUAUAUGGGAAUAAAAUGUUCCACGUGUGGGAUUUUGUAUGUACCAUAUGAAUAAGGAACGGCUAACUCCGUUCCAGCAGCCGCGGUAAUACGGAGGAUCCGAGCGUUAUCCGGAUUUAUUGGGUUUAAAGGGAGCGUAGGUGGAUUGUUAAGGCAGUUGUGAAAGUUUGCGGCUUAACCGUAAAAUUGCAGUUGAAACUGGCAGUCUUGAGGACAGUAGAGGUGGGCGGAAUUCGUGGUGUAGCGGUGAAAUGCUUAGAGAUCACGAAGAACUCCGAUUGCGAAGGCAGUUCACUGGACUGCAACUGACACUGAGGCUCGAAAGUGUGGGUAUCAAACAGGAUUAGAUACCCCUGUAGUC
This 460-nucleotide ribosomal RNA is filed under the name uncultured bacterium. RNAcentral's name for it is "partial 16S ribosomal RNA". It matches the Rfam family "Bacterial small subunit ribosomal RNA", at positions 338 to 795 of the family's 1533-position model. The record is from RNAcentral.